Long non-coding RNA from Daphnia pulicaria, 1474 nucleotides. RefSeq lists it as uncharacterized. NCBI's taxonomy places the organism in Eukaryota, Metazoa, Arthropoda, Branchiopoda, Diplostraca, Daphniidae. The transcript is spliced from 3 exons. The record is from RefSeq and is a predicted model, not a curated record.
AAUUCCUGUCUUAUUUCUGCUAACUUUCUACAAUUAAGUUGAUUAAAUUCCAUGAAAGAUAGAAUUUCUCGAUUAGAAAAGGAACGAUCCGUAUAGUCAUCGGAAAAACGAAAUUUUGAUUCUUCCUUGCAAACACAAAAACGAGACUCAUAUGAAGGAUUACCUACGUAUCUUCUUCAUUGUCAGCGUUUGGCACGCAACAUCCAUGUAUAAGUAGAUAUGAAGAUAAUAGAGAUAAGAGAGAUAUGAAAGUAAACCCUCCGUUUAUGAAAUCUUAAUACGUUUCAAAGUUGCCGUCAUUUAUUGUUGAAAACUUGAAACAGUGAAAGUGAAAAUGUUCCGGCAUAUCUUUCACCAGGGCAUCUUUACGCUUCUACAACAGGGAAUUGGGUAUGAUAACCACGUUAUGUGCAACGGACUUCCAGUUCAGUAACGUCUCACAAGCAACUAUAUGUAUAUCUUAGUUUUGUCUGUCGUUCUAGUCCUUCGACGUCGAUGCUUCCGCCAAGUGUUGAAAAUUACCUUAUGUGGAAAAGUGUAAACCUCAAUCAAGAUGGGAAACCUGAUGUACCGUGAGACUUUUGGAUAAUCGCUGCUCGUUCUUGUGACGCCAAACAACCGCUUUGUUUCUGGAAAAUCUAAAAAUGGAGUUGUAAAAUUAGCGUAUGAUCGUUCCUGCAUCAAAUGGGGGCAUGCGAUUAACAGUAAGAUCCAAUUAAACAAAACGCUUUAAGGAAAUUACAUGAUGAUUGAAGUGAAUGUUUCCAUGGGUACGUACCAUUGUUGAAGGUGAUGGAAAGAACUUACCAAUCAUGGCUCACCCACCUUUGAAAACUUCUGACCUGAGUCUGGAAGAAUUCAUCGACACAAUUAUAAGAAGUGGUACAAGUAAAGAAAUCAAACUUGAUUUCAAAGAUACAGAAGCUGUCCAUCCUUCUUUAGAGAUAAUCAAAUCUAGGAAUACCAAGUUGGCAGCAUUUUCAAGUUAUUUGCAAGCUGAAUUAUGUCAGCACAAUUUUUAAAAAAGAUUAGCAAACCCCUUUGGCUGAACGCGGACAUUCUGCCAGGACCUGUGAACGACACUACGGAGCCAAUUAGUGAAAUAAUUUCAGCAUUCAAUAUUUCUUAUUACUACUAAUAGGUGAGUUCUAUUUUGAUUACAGAUGCUGGGGUGUUUCUGAAUUUGGCAAACACCUGUUAGAGUAUGAGCAGCCACAUUAAUCAUACAUCUAGCCAUUACAUGAAUACACUUAACAUGUUCAUCAAGAUUACUUACUUCCUUUUAUUCAGUAAAAGACUCCAAUAUAAGACACACACUUCAGAGCCUGUUCAGAAGGAAGUCAAUACUUAAGUCCUAAUAGCUUAGGCAAAACGUCACACACACGUAUCUGUCGUCGAGCAAACAAUCUGAGGUUUCAACAACCCCGUGCACUUGAACAGCUGGCGAUAGGCUGAAUGGGUAAAGAGAAAUUUU